RNAcentral lists this ribosomal RNA (612 nucleotides) under uncultured bacterium. RNAcentral's name for it is "bacterial SSU rRNA". It matches the Rfam family "Bacterial small subunit ribosomal RNA", at positions 338 to 961 of the family's 1533-position model. The record is from RNAcentral.
CCUACGGGAGGCAGCAGUGAGGAAUAUUGGACAAUGGGCGCAAGCCUGAUCCAGCCAUGCCGCGUGCAGGAAGACGCAUCUAUGGUGUGUAAACUGCUUUUGUACGGGAAGAAACACUCCUUCGUGAAGGAGCUUGACGGUACCGUAAGAAUAAGGAUCGGCUAACUCCGUGCCAGCAGCCGCGGUAAUACGGAGGAUCCAAGCGUUAUCCGGAAUCAUUGGGUUUAAAGGGUCCGUAGGCGGUUUAAUAAGUCAGUGGUGAAAUCUGGUCGCCCAACGAUCAAACGGCCAUUGAUACUGUUAGACUUGAAUUACUAGGAAGUAACUAGAAUAUGUAGUGUAGCGGUGAAAUGCUUAGAUAUUACAUGGAAUACCAAUUGCGAAGGCAGGUUACUACUAGUGGAUUGACGCUGAUGGACGAAAGCGUGGGGAGCGAACAGGAUUAGAUACCCUGGUAGUCCACGCCGUAAACGAUGGAUACUAGCUGUUGGGCGCAAGUUCAGUGGCUAAGCGAAAGUGAUAAGUAUCCACCUGGGGAGUACGUUCGCAAGAAGUAGUUAAGUUAAAUAGUUAAGUUAGAGNGNGNGAGNGCGAGACGACGACGAGGAGAGG